This 2018-nucleotide long non-coding RNA is filed under the name Gossypium barbadense (sea-island cotton). Its description in RNAcentral is "long non-coding RNA (GBAR_LNC015587)". The record is from RNAcentral. Lineage: Eukaryota; Viridiplantae; Streptophyta; Magnoliopsida; Malvales; Malvaceae.
CAAGCUUUACAGUAUGUUUGGUUGGCCAAUACACUCCUAAUCGGUGGGCCCCACUUAAUCCCCCUUUAAUCCAUUGUUUGGUUCAGGGUAUUGCUAUUACGAGUCUAAUACAUUACUGACCUAAUCCCCAAAAUCCACUGAUUUCUAAUCCCUCCCUUUUGCUCAAUUUAGGUGCUGCUUCAAUUUACCCUCCCUGUUUUACCCUCCCGAUCGGCUUCCCCUUUCCGUCUUCUAUUCCUUCCUUCUAGCCUCAACCUUUUCUGCCGAUUUGCUCCCUCUGUCUCUCAACCUUUUCUUUUCUUUUUCUUUACAACAUAAUUUACGCUUGGCCUUCUCAACCUUUUCUUUUCUUUUUCUCUCUGUCACUCUUUCGCUUGCUCUCAGUUGGUGGGUUUCCAAGUUACUGCAACUGAAAGGUAAACCAGUUUCUAACUCUCUUUUGCUCUCAAACUACUUUAAUGUUUGCAGCUCUAAAUUUAUUGCUGUUUUUUUCCCUGUUGGUCCAUUAGGUUCAAGAAAUUGAGCUUUUUUCUGCUUCACAUUUUAUUUUGAGUGGUUAUUUUCCUUCUUUACCAUGUCAAAUUUUAAGUUUGAUUGGUUUACUUUGAUGGGUUUGUGUUAUUGGAUUAAUUUCUACGGAUUCCUGUAUUUUAAUUAGCUUAAGUUUCAAGUAGAGUUCUAUUUCUUAAUGAAUGGAAUGACCUACAGCUGUUAAAUUAUUAUUCAAUCCGUCGUGAUAUGCUCGGUUGUGUUGUUAUUCAAUAUCCAGAUUUUAUGAUCCUUUGCCAAACAUUUUUUUGCUUUUUGGUAGGUUCAAUGCAUGAGGAUAUUGGGAGACUACCAUCAUUCAUCUCGUAUUGCUUUUGUUGAGUUUACAAUGGUAUUUACUCGCUGUGUUUAUUUAAUGAGACUGUUGCAAGAUCUAUUUCUGUGGUGUAAGAUGAGGUUACUUGUUUCUCAAAUUGCAUAAAAAUUCUGUACGAUUUAGCAUAACCCCAAAGCUUAUUUAUUCUCUGAUGAAAAAUAGCAUGGCUUAUUCCUUUUCUACAUUAUCUAGCUACUUCUUAGAUGAAUAAUUUACCAAGCCUUACCUGUUUCUUUAACCUUUUCAUUGAUGGAUUAUUGACCUCAAGUUCUCAUUGGAUGAACUAAGUGGCAAGAGUGGGAGAGCUCUCUUGGCUUCUCCUCUUUUAGUUUUGUCUUUCAUGUAUCCUUUCUUGGGAUGUGAACUAUAUUGGAUAAACAUUGUCAAAUUUAACUAUGGAAGUUGAUUUAGGAGAACCAAAUUGUGGAAAUGACUAGUUCUGUAACAGUAGUCCCAAUCCUCUCGUUGCUCCCUUCUCUUUUUACUGAAUCUCUUGGACUGAUGGAUUGGGAAUAUAUUGUUUUUUUGCGAGGCUAUGAUCAUUCAUAGCGCCUUUGCAGCCAUAGUUGUAAGGCUAUAAGAGCAGUUAAUGAUUGUGGCUCAUGAUCCAUGAGUUAUUCGUAUUAAGGAGUGUGAAAUAACGAGCUUGUACUCAAGUUUUGUGGAAGCAUGAACAAAGCUCUAUGGAACCUUUAUUGACUGAGUGAAAGGAUGGUUAAUGUGUUGCAACUAGUGUUUUCUGCAAUUCGCAGGUUUAUAAAUAUCUACCUUUCUUUUGUCUAUCCUGAUUGCUACCUAGGACUGGGGAAGAGUCAUGUGGACUUGGAACUCACUUAAAUCUCAAUUUUUAUAUGCGGUGUUGUUGGAAGGUAAUUUGUAAUGACAAACCUAGUCAGAGGAUGCAAUCAGGAUGUUGUGCUUCUUUUGUCUUGUGAUGUACUCUCAAUAUCUUAUGCUGGCAGCUAGACUGGCUGAUUGUCUAUUUGGUUGAAAGAGUGUCAACUUUGUACUUGUCUAGUUUAUAUUCAGUACUACAGCCAUUUAUUGUAUCAUACACUUGGUUGGUUUGCAUUUUCUUUAACUAAGGAACUUAUUGAUUGUUAUGUUUCCACAAGACGAACAAUUUUCUAUGUUGUUGCCAAUUUUGACGAUG